Molecule: long non-coding RNA, 1123 nt
Organism: Micropterus salmoides (largemouth bass)
Lineage: Eukaryota; Metazoa; Chordata; Actinopteri; Centrarchiformes; Centrarchidae
Exons: 2
Source: RefSeq, a predicted model, not a curated record
UGUUAGCCUCCCGUGUGCUCCUUGCCAGCCUGCCAGUUCCACUUGCCUCUAUUAUCUUCUAAUAUGCUACCUUCAACUUCACCAUCUUCAUUUUUGCCUUCCCUGGAAUCUCCAGCCCUGCUAUUCAUUCACCCAUUACCUCCCUGGUUUGCAACAAAACUUUUAUUCAACUACAACCUGCUUGGUGGAGAUCUAGAGGAAAGGACCAAGCCUAACAAACAUCUACGGCUGGAUGAAGUGACCUGCGUGGUUCAACAUGCCCAGCCUGCACCAAUUUAAUAUCUCAAAGCGUCAGUGACAUUUCAUUUGUGUUUCCUUCAAUAGCAAAGUUGUGUCUACACACACACACAAUCUUUGCCUGUUUUUAUUGUUCAACUUUUACAUUGUGCUGAGAGCUUCCAUGAACCGUGCAGCAGCCUCUACUGAAAUUCAUCUCAUAGCACUUACUAGCCUAUUCAAUGCCAGUGCAAGUUCAGAAACUGCCAGCUGCAAUGGAUAUGAGCCAGAGAAUACAAGAGGACGCCAGUUGUUUUCAAGGCAGUCCAUGAUACCUGAACUGAGCAUUGUUGAGUCUUCACUGCAAAGAAGAGAGAUCUGGUUAUUAAUUAUCAUCAGCAAGACUUUGCCUUUUAGUCAUGUAAUGGAAUCUCAGUAAUUUGAACUGGAACAUUACAAUUAGUACACAUGCACUGCAGACAGACGCUCACACAUGUCAUUGUAUCUCAGGCCUAGUUGGGACUUCUCUUAACAGCUCCAGCCCAAACCUCAUUAACAGAAGCAUCCACAUUUGGUGCUGGUGCAGUAACUUGUAAACACAUUAAAAAUUUAAUUGCACCUACAGGCUUUGGUGCUUCAUGUGCAUUUUAAUUUGCAGGCCUCCCAACUUCUAUUAACCAGCACUGUCCCCUCUGAAAAUGGCCCUGAAACCAAGGUUUGAACAUAUUCAAUAAAUGCAGAUUAUAUGUAAGUUUACAAUGUUGGAAGUUGCUUUAAUUAAAGAACUUCUCUGUCAUAUGUUUGUAUAUUUCAAAAACAAGAGGACCUUGAUGAGUGAAAUUAACAAAUGUGAAAGUGUAGCCCAGUCAAUAUUCUUCCUCCGGAAAUAAACAACUGAUAAUGUGUA